RNAcentral lists this non-coding RNA (58 nucleotides) under Rhodella violacea. Lineage: Eukaryota; Rhodophyta; Rhodellophyceae; Rhodellales; Rhodellaceae. The record is from RNAcentral.
UCUUCCUUUUCUCUUUUACUUUUUCUUCCUUUUUCUUCCUUUUUUUUCACCUUGUUUG